RNAcentral lists this ribosomal RNA (240 nucleotides) under uncultured Streptococcus sp. RNAcentral describes it as "partial 16S ribosomal RNA". It matches the Rfam family "Bacterial small subunit ribosomal RNA", at positions 1142 to 1382 of the family's 1533-position model. The record is from RNAcentral. Lineage: Bacteria; Bacillati; Bacillota; Bacilli; Lactobacillales; Streptococcaceae.
AAUGAGACUGCCGGUAGACAACCGGAGGAAGGUGGGAUGACGUCAAAUCAUCAUGCCCCUUAUGACCUGGGCUACACACGUGCUACAAUGGUUGGUACAACGAGUUGCGAGUCGGUGACGGCGAGCUAAUCUCUUAAAGCCAAUCUCAGUUCGGAUUGUAGGCUGCAACUCGCCUACAUGAAGUCGGAAUCGCUAGUAAUCGCGGAUCAGCACGCCGCGGUGAAUACGUUCCCGGGCCUU